Lactuca sativa (garden lettuce) is the source of this 1030-nucleotide long non-coding RNA. RefSeq lists it as uncharacterized. The record is from RefSeq and is a predicted model, not a curated record. Lineage: Eukaryota; Viridiplantae; Streptophyta; Magnoliopsida; Asterales; Asteraceae.
GCCCCCGUUUCCUUGUUUGGACGAUCGGAGGGAUAAUUGAAUGGAACUGAUGAACGAAGGCGAUUGGAGGGAUGACGAUGUCAGUCGACCAUUCGUUGAUCGGGCAAAGAAAAAGAACGGAUCGAAGGCAAGACAAAACGUACGCCUCCGGUGGUCCAUCUGCCGAGCAAAGAAGAAGAAAUACGGGAACGAAAUCAGAAGAAACAAACACGAAGGCGACGACUCUGCAUCAGGGUCUUUUUUCGUCGGAGAUUACGAAGAAUACCGAAGGAGGAAGAAGCUCCCAGGCGGCUAAUACGAAUAUUUUGGUCGAUUGAUCGCGAAGGGAACGUCUCCGGGGGUUGACGGGGCCGAAGAGAUGGAGGGAAGAGCAGCGAGGAUACGCUAUUUCUGUCCGACAGCGAGAGGCAAAAGGGAAAGCGGUUCGGUGGUUUUUGGAUCGAGGGUGUGGUGUGGCUAAGAGGUUGCGAAGGGAGGGAAAAGGAGAACAGAAUUAGCGGUGCUUCUGUUGGUCUCGAAAUCGAUGGAACCCAAUUGGGUGUUUGGGUUUGAUUUUUGAUAGAAAAAAAAAAAAAAAAAAAAAAAAAAAAAAAAAAACGAGGGAGGCUGCCACGAGGAAGAAGAAGGAAGAGAAGAAGGAAGGAAGAAUGAAGUGGAAGCUGUGGUUCUUUUUGUUUGCAGGUAAACACGAGAAUAAGAACAAGAAUGUUCUUGACCGGAAACAAAGGGGAUGUUUGCUUAACUUUUUAAAGCUCCAAAAGAAUUUUUUUUAAAAGUUGUAAAAAGUCAGGUUUUUACAACUUUUUAAAAAAUCCAAAAGUAGUUUUUAAAAUUGUUUCGUCAAACAUCUUUUUGGCUUCUAUCUUUUUUUAAAAGAUUUUUUGGUUUCUCAAAAACUAAGUCAAACACCCCCAAAGAUACAGGCAGAAAAUAAAGGUUUCCAGUUUAAGAUUUAAAUUGUUAUUGGUGUGUAAUUUUAGAUGUGCAAGAAUUUAAUAGCUGUCAUUUAUCUACAUUUUGUGUAUUUUGU